Molecule: ribosomal RNA, 166 nt
Filed under: Tephrosia heckmanniana
Lineage: Eukaryota; Viridiplantae; Streptophyta; Magnoliopsida; Fabales; Fabaceae
Also listed under: 1 other name
Description: 5.8S ribosomal RNA
Rfam family: 5.8S ribosomal RNA
About the family: 5.8S ribosomal RNA (5.8S rRNA) is a component of the large subunit of the eukaryotic ribosome. It is transcribed by RNA polymerase I as part of the 45S precursor that also contains 18S and 28S rRNA. Functionally, it is thought that 5.8S rRNA may be involved in ribosome translocation.
Source: RNAcentral
UACUAAAUGACUCUCGGCAACGGAUAUCUCGGCUCUUGCAUCGAUGAAGAACGUAGCGAAAUGCGAUACUUGGUGUGAAUUGCAGAAUCCCGUGAACCAUCGAGUCUUUGAACGCAAGUUGCGCCCGAAGCCAUUAGGUUGAGGGCACGCCUGCCUGGGUGUCACA